Long non-coding RNA from Oncorhynchus nerka (sockeye salmon), 590 nucleotides. RefSeq lists it as uncharacterized. The transcript is spliced from 3 exons. NCBI's taxonomy places the organism in Eukaryota, Metazoa, Chordata, Actinopteri, Salmoniformes, Salmonidae. The record is from RefSeq and is a predicted model, not a curated record.
UCUAAUUAUCCUAACCUGCUACAUUAAUUCUCCCAACCUGCUGCACAAGUUCUCCUACAUUUGCAAGGAUUUUAUUUUGACAAAAGGAUAUAUCCCUUCUCUUCAAAACCCUCUUUGACCUGCCCAAGGCCUUCUGGGAGAAGGAGACAGGAGCUGAGGACGUACUUUACCCAGCAGGACCUUCCUCUGACACCACGUGGUGUCCUUGAUGGCUGGUUAUACUGUUACAUUGAUGCGGUUGACCUGGAUCACUGGUUGCUGUGGAAAAUGAGGAGGUCAAAAGGAGGUUGUUCCCCUUGCUCUGCAGGGAACGUGGCUUUUGUGGAGCGAUGGCUAACGAUGCUUCUUGGGAAGCAGUUGUUGAAAGAGGGUCCUUUAUUCGAGCCCAAAUAGAGGCGAGGAGAGGGACGGAAGUGAAACUGUUACAUUAGAAUCACAUCUGGCAGUGAUUACAGCUGUGAGUCUUUCUGGGUAAGUCUAUAAGAGCUUUGCACACCUGGAAUCUACAAUAUUUGCACAUUAUUCUUUUAAAAAAUUCUUCAAGCUCUUUCAAAUUGGUUGUUGAUCAUUGCUAGACAGCCAUUUUCAAG